RNAcentral lists this ribosomal RNA (472 nucleotides) under Streptococcus gordonii. RNAcentral describes it as "bacterial SSU rRNA". It matches the Rfam family "Bacterial small subunit ribosomal RNA", at positions 28 to 474 of the family's 1533-position model. The record is from RNAcentral. Lineage: Bacteria; Bacillati; Bacillota; Bacilli; Lactobacillales; Streptococcaceae.
GACGAACGCUGGCGGCGUGCCUAAUACAUGCAAGUAGAACGCACAGUUUAUACCGUAGCUUGCUACACCAUAGACUGUGAGUUGCGAACGGGUGAGUAACGCGUAGGUAACCUGCCUGGUAGCGGGGGAUAACUAUUGGAAGCGAUAGCUAAUACCGCAUAAUAUUAAUUAUUGCAUGAUAAUUGAUUGAAAGGUGCAAUUGCACCACUACCAGAUGGACCUGCGUUGUAUUAGCUAGUAGGUGAGGUAACGGCUCACCUAGGCGACGAUACAUAGCCGACCUGAGAGGGUGAUCGGCCACACUGGGACUGAGACACGGCCCAGACUCCUACGGGAGGCAGCAGUAGGGAAUCUUCGGCAAUGGACGAAAGUCUGACCGAGCAACGCCGCGUGAGUGAAGAAGGUUUUCGGAUCGUAAAGCUCUGUUGUAAGAGAAGAACGGGUGUGAGGGUGGAAAGUUCACACUGUGACG